This 716-nucleotide long non-coding RNA is filed under the name Homo sapiens (human). RNAcentral describes it as "non-protein coding lnc-DEF8-2:9". Lineage: Eukaryota; Metazoa; Chordata; Mammalia; Primates; Hominidae. The record is from RNAcentral.
GGUCUGGGGAUGUGGUACCGGCUGCUGGCGGCGGCCGGCAGUAGAGCGGUGGCCAGGCCGCUGGCCUUGCUGUGGCGAUGUGGUGGCCCAGGAGGCGGCAGGACGGCCAAGACCAGCGCGAGGGCCCUGGGCAAGGCCCGACAGUGGUUAUGGCCAGUGAGAAUGUGCGGUGUUGCAUUGCAGAAGAAGCUAGGAAAGCUCAUCUGGCCUCCUGUUCCAGUGCUUCCAGGGGAUCCACGUUCAGAAGCUGACUCUGCAGGCAAGACCGACGUUAUUUUCCUGGUGGCUGUGUUCAAAACCACCCAAAGGGUUUGAGAAAUACUUUAAGAGGAGUGGAAGGAACACAAACUGAGAAACAUCAACAGCACCAAAAAAAGAGACUGGUGAACUAGAGAAUGCUGAGUCUGGAGGAGACGGAGGCAGGAGAGGAGGGAAGCAGGAUAACGUUGCCUGGUGGAGGCGGAUGCAGAAGGGGGGACUUCCCCUGGGAUGACGAGGAUUUCCGCAGUCUGGCCCUUUUGGGGGCAGGCGUUGCCAUGGGAUUUUUCUACCUCUAUUUUCGAGAUCCUGGAAGAGAAAUCACGUGGAAGCACUUUGUACAGUAUUACCUGGCCAGAGGUCUGGUGGACCGGCUGGAAGUCGUGAACAAACAAUCUGUGCGUGUUAUUCCUGCCCCUGGGACCUCUUCUGAAGUGAGGGGUGAAUUUAAGGCUGAG